RNAcentral lists this ribosomal RNA (286 nucleotides) under Gammaproteobacteria bacterium. RNAcentral's name for it is "partial 16S ribosomal RNA". It matches the Rfam family "Bacterial small subunit ribosomal RNA", at positions 1248 to 1533 of the family's 1533-position model. The record is from RNAcentral. Lineage: Bacteria; Pseudomonadati; Pseudomonadota; Gammaproteobacteria.
CGCCAACUCGCGAGAGGGAGCAAAUCUCAGAAAGCCGUUCUCAGUCCGGAUCGAAGUCUGCAACUCGACUUCGUGAAGUCGGAAUCGCUAGUAAUCGCGAAUCAGAAUGUCGCGGUGAAUACGUUCCCGGGCCUUGUACACACCGCCCGUCACACCAUGGGAGUUGGUUGCACCAGAAGUAGGUAGUCUAACCUUCGGGAGGACGCUUACAACGGUGUGGUUCAUGACUGGGGUGAAGUCGUAACAAGGUAGCUGUAGGGGAACCUGUAGCUGGAUCACCUCCUAA